UCUCUGAAACUGGGUUUCAAUGAAGGCUUGAUCAUGAACAAGUAGCCCUAAUUUUAGAUUAUAUGUUAUAAUUCAAUGCUGUGUUGAGAGUUGUUGGUUGCACAGAUGAGCUUGCAUGCAGAUGAGUCAAUUCUCCCACCACUCUUGGUUUGUUUUGUCUCUUCCAUGAUGUUGAGUUUGGGAUCGGUGGCAGGAGGAGGAGGUCGAUGCACAUGAGGCUUGGUUGGGAUAACUUGUUUCUGCAAGUGGUUGUUUUUAUGUUUUGAUUGCACACAAUAGUUUUGUUUUGAAUGUCCAUCAUCUCCUUUCAUGCUCCUCUUAGUCGUGCUCGUUGUACUUAUUUUUUCUGAUCCUGGAGCUCACAUAUUUGUCGAGAUUUGUAGGUAUAGCCUUCAUGAAUAUGGACUUUGCCAUCCUGUUGCCCCAGCAAGGAUUGUGGGCGUCACUGCCUGAUUUUUAGCUAGGAUGUCGAAAUCGAUGCAGUGCAUGCAUCGUUCAAAUUCACUAUGCUCUUCACUUCUCGAUUUUAUGAUCCUCGUGAGCAUGUUGUGGCUUUGAACUAGACAGAAAUUAGGGUUACGGGAUCAAUUGCUGCAUGGAAGUUAAAUGCAUGCUGUAAGAUGUGAGUGCGGACACGGUCGGUGGCCGUCACAAUCGCCAAUUUGAAGUGCCUGAGUGAAGGUCAAUGCAGAGCUGUUGGGUUUAACUUCCCAGACGCGGACGAUUACAAUGGGGAAAUUCAAUGUUCUCGUUGUGUGAUUCACAAAACCAGGUACCUCUCAAACAUCAAAUGGUCCAAAUUGGUGGACACCGUAACCCUUUCCAACGAUGGAGUAAUCACUGAGGAAGGCAUGAUGCUCAUCUACGGGACGCAGUAUAAUUUUUCACGUCAAGGAGAGGAACUUUGUUGGCGAUGAGACCUGUUUCGAGAGACUACGUGAAGCAGAAACAACUCUUGGGAAGCUACACGACCUUUCUUUCAAUCAAACAACACCGUUUUCAGUCAAUCUGGAGAUCGCUAGGGCUCAUGUUUUUCCCCAUCAAUCAGCAUGGAGGGCAAAGGGAGCAUACAAUCUACAUCACUACCCACCUGAGGUGGUGGGAGCAUUGGCAUGGGAUACAGCAAACAUCACAGAGGAAGCCAGAGUUUCUACAACUAGAAUGACAAGGGCAUAUAGACAAGGUGUUGAAGAUAAGGGCUGCAUCACAGGCUUAUGCCACUGAGAUUGCAUUCUCAAACAUUACAUUCUGAAAGCAUGAAAUGCUGGUGAAGGUGAGAGAAGCUAAUAAUGCAAUAGAUGCAAUGACAGCCAUGCCAAGUAGCUGAAGCUGGAAGCACCCCAGCAGUAGCAUCAGCUCCAUAGCUGCUGCUGCAGCAGCAACAGCAUCAGGUAAGGAGCUAGUCUUCACCUUAUCAAGCUCACAUCAAAUCCUGCAUGUUUUGUGUGCAGUUUUUUCACAAUAUGAUAGUGUAGGCAUGUUGACUUGGGACCCAGUUUUAGGCUUGCAGCAUGUUGUGUUUUAAGGCUGCCAAAGGUUUGAGGCCUUUGUUUUGUGAAUCAUGGUUCAUGUUGGCUUGGCUUCCACAUCAUCCCACAGUAUCUUGUGGACACAGGAUAUCCUUGCAAAUUAUUUACACUUGACUCUAUUUUGAACUAUUGUUGCAAGUGUGUCUCUUCUCAGUAGCAUCACUAUUGGAGCAAAUGAGUUGCUACACAUGAGGAAGUGUUCCAUUCAAGGGUCCUUUCUAUUCACGAAAUAUUACAUGCAAAACAAAACUUUAAAAUAAAAAAUAAAAAUGGACAAGAAGAACAAAAAAAAGAUGAAUCGUUGAGUAGAGCUAUUUGUAGUAUAAUAGCAUGGCACGAGGUUAAGAGGAAUUCAAGAUUGCAAAUGAUGAUUAAGCCAAGGUCUUUAAACCUUUUGACAAA
Molecule: long non-coding RNA, 1931 nt
Organism: Physcomitrium patens
Lineage: Eukaryota; Viridiplantae; Streptophyta; Bryopsida; Funariales; Funariaceae
Source: RefSeq, a predicted model, not a curated record